GGGGCUGGGGCUCAGCGGUAGAGCACUCACCUAGUACAUGAGAGGCCCUGGGUUUGAUCCUCAGCACCA
RNAcentral lists this transfer RNA (69 nucleotides) under Ictidomys tridecemlineatus (thirteen-lined ground squirrel). RNAcentral describes it as "Spermophilus tridecemlineatus (thirteen-lined ground squirrel) tRNA". It matches the Rfam family "tRNA". From Rfam's summary of the family: Transfer RNA (tRNA) molecules are approximately 80 nucleotides in length. Their secondary structure includes four short double-helical elements and three loops (D, anti-codon, and T loops). The record is from Rfam by way of RNAcentral. Lineage: Eukaryota; Metazoa; Chordata; Mammalia; Rodentia; Sciuridae.